UGCAAGUCGAACGCUGAAGCCGACAGCUUGCUGUUGGUGGAUGAGUGGCGAACGGGUGAGUAACACGUGAGUAACCUGCCCCUGAUUUCGGGAUAAGCCUGGGAAACUGGGUCUAAUACCGGAUAUGACCAAUCCUUGCAUGAGGGUUGGUGGAAAGUUUUUCGAUCGGGGAUGGGCUCGCGGCCUAUCAGCUUGUUGGUGGGGUAAUGGCCUACCAAGGCGACGACGGGUAGCCGGCCUGAGAGGGCGACCGGCCACACUGGGACUGAGACACGGCCCAGACUCCUACGGGAGGCAGCAGUGGGGAAUAUUGCACAAUGGGGGAAACCCUGAUGCAGCGACGCAGCGUGCGGGAUGACGGCCUUCGGGUUGUAAACCGCUUUCAGCAGGGAAGAAGCGAAAGUGACGGUACCUGCAGAAGAAGUACCGGCUAACUACGUGCCAGCAGCCGCGGUAAUACGUAGGGUACGAGCGUUGUCCGGAAUUAUUGGGCGUAAAGAGCUCGUAGGUGGUUGGUCACGUCUGCUGUGGAAACGCAACGCUUAACGUUGCGCGUGCAGUGGGUACGGGCUGACUAGAGUGCAGUAGGGGAGUCUGGAAUUCCUGGUGUAGCGGUGAAAUGCGCAGAUAUCAGGAGGAACACCGGUGGCGAAGGCGGGACUCUGGGCUGUAACUGACACUGAGGAGCG
RNAcentral lists this ribosomal RNA (689 nucleotides) under Brevibacterium sp. 11362. RNAcentral's name for it is "bacterial SSU rRNA". It matches the Rfam family "Bacterial small subunit ribosomal RNA", at positions 56 to 755 of the family's 1533-position model. Lineage: Bacteria; Bacillati; Actinomycetota; Actinomycetes; Micrococcales; Brevibacteriaceae. The record is from RNAcentral.